AAUGGCCGGAAGGCUGAACCAGCCAUCCCGCGUGCAGGAUGACGGCCCUAUGGGUUGUAAACUGCUUUUGUACCUGAAGAAACCUGUUUACGAGUAGACAGUUGCCGGUAAGGUAUGAAUAAGCAUCGGCUAACUCCGUGCCAGCAGCCGCGGUAAUACGGAGGAUGCAAGCGUUAUCCGGAUUCAUUGGGUUUAAAGGGUGCGCAGGUGGGAAAAUAAGUCAGUGGUGAAAUACUGCCGCUUAACGGUAGAAUUGCCAUUGAUACUGUUUUUCUUGAGUAUGGUUGAGGUAGGUGGAAUGUGUUGUGUAGCGGUGAAAUGCAUAGAUAUGACACAGAACGCCAAUUGCGAAGGCAGCUUACUAAGCCAUUACUGACGCUGAGGCACGAAAGCGUGGGGAUCAAA
RNAcentral lists this ribosomal RNA (405 nucleotides) under uncultured bacterium. Its description in RNAcentral is "bacterial SSU rRNA". It matches the Rfam family "Bacterial small subunit ribosomal RNA", at positions 370 to 772 of the family's 1533-position model. The record is from RNAcentral.